RNAcentral lists this long non-coding RNA (203 nucleotides) under Phoenix dactylifera (date palm). RNAcentral's name for it is "long non-coding RNA (PDAC_LNC017226)". The record is from RNAcentral. Lineage: Eukaryota; Viridiplantae; Streptophyta; Magnoliopsida; Arecales; Arecaceae.
CCUUCAAGGAAUCAAGUUAUUCUGAUCCACUAGAAAGAUGUUUGGCCCAAUUCAAUCAAGAUUAUGAGGAAGGAGAGUCGAAUCAGGGGGUUAAUGCAUUGCUAGAUUCCAUUCCUGUAAUGGAUACUAGCAGAUGGGCUGCUAAAUUUGAAUCAUUACCUAUACCUGAAUCCCAGCUAGUACCUUCAAGUGUCUAACCUCCC